RNAcentral lists this ribosomal RNA (412 nucleotides) under uncultured microorganism. RNAcentral describes it as "bacterial SSU rRNA". It matches the Rfam family "Archaeal small subunit ribosomal RNA", at positions 330 to 745 of the family's 1478-position model. The record is from RNAcentral.
GCGCACCAGUCGCGAAACCUCCGCAAUACACGAAAGUGUGACGGGGCCAUCCCGAGUGCCGUCCGCUGAGGACGGCUUUUCCCCAGUGUACACAGCUGGGGGAAUAAGGAGAGGGCAAGCCUGGUGUCAGCCGCCGCGGUAAUACCAGCUCUCCGAGUGGUGGGGACGCUUAUUGGGCCUAAAGCAUCCGUAGCCGGCUGGGCAAGUCCUCCGUUAAAUCCAACGAUUCAAUCGUUGGGCUGCGGGGGAUACUGUCCAGCUUGGGGGCGGGAGAGGCCGACGGUAUUCCCGGGGUAGGGGUGAAAUCCUAUAAUCCCGGGAGGACCACCAGUGGCGAAGGCUGUCGGCUAGAACGCGCCCGACGGUGAGGGAUGAAAGCUGGGGGAGCGAACCGGAUUAGAUACCCCGUAGU